AUUUAUAUAGUUUAAUCAAAACAUUACAUUUUCAUUGUAAAAUCAAAUAAAAUUUUAUAAAUA
Molecule: transfer RNA, 63 nt
Filed under: Microselasia pseudograndis
Lineage: Eukaryota; Metazoa; Arthropoda; Insecta; Coleoptera; Elateridae
Description: tRNA-Glu
Source: RNAcentral